CCUACGGGGGGCAGCAGUAGGGAAUAUUGCUCAAUGGGGGAAACCCUGAAGCAGCAACGCCGCGUGGAGGAUGAAGGUUUUCGGAUUGUAAACUCCUUUUGUUAGAGAAGAUAAUGACGGUAUCUAACGAAUAAGCACCGGCUAACUCCGUGCCAGCAGCCGCGGUAAUACGGAGGGUGCAAGCGUUACUCGGAAUCACUGGGCGUAAAGGGCGCGUAGGCGGGAUAGCAAGUCAGAUGUGAAAUCCUAUGGCUUAACCAUAGAACUGCAUUUGAAACUGUUAUUCUAGAGUAUGGGAGAGGUAGGUGGAAUUCUUGGUGUAGGGGUGAAAUCCGUAGAGAUCAAGAGGAAUACUCAUUGCGAAGGCGACCUGCUAGAACAUAACUGACGCUGAUGCGCGAAAGCGUGGGGAGCAAACAGGAUUAGAUACCCGAGUAGUC
Molecule: ribosomal RNA, 440 nt
Filed under: uncultured bacterium
Lineage: Bacteria
Description: partial 16S ribosomal RNA
Rfam family: Bacterial small subunit ribosomal RNA
Source: RNAcentral